This is a long non-coding RNA of Chelonia mydas (Green sea turtle), 406 nucleotides long. RefSeq lists it as uncharacterized. The transcript has 3 exons. The record is from RefSeq and is a predicted model, not a curated record. Lineage: Eukaryota; Metazoa; Chordata; Testudines; Cheloniidae.
UCCCCAGGGGAACUCUCAGGCCAACUCCUUCUGUUCGCUGCUGUGCUGUUCGCUGCUCAGCUGGUUCGCAGCUGACUGGCUUUUUAUACAGUCAGGCCCACUUAAGGCUCACCUGGAACAAAGCACUCCCAGUUCCCGCCCUUUUCAAACAACCAAUCAAGCACACGCUUAAGUGAGCUUCCAACCCCUCGUCCGCGCUCUUUGGAGCUGUUAUGGGAGGGGCACGCGGGACAGGCAUUCUAGUCAAGCGGGUGAAAAAAGAGAGCCCUGGCCUGGAGGGAUGAGCACAGGGGCUCAAACCCUCCUGGCUCUGCCGCUGGACUCCCUGGGCAGCCUCAGGCAAGUCACUGAAUCCCUCUGCCUCAGUUUACUCCCUGGGGGCAGCUCGAGCUCCCUCCCAGGUGCG